Molecule: small nucleolar RNA, 107 nt
Filed under: Gossypium hirsutum (cotton)
Lineage: Eukaryota; Viridiplantae; Streptophyta; Magnoliopsida; Malvales; Malvaceae
Description: Plant small nucleolar RNA R71
Rfam family: Plant small nucleolar RNA R71
About the family: R71 is a member of the C/D box family of snoRNAs containing the C (UGAUGA) and D (CUGA) box motifs.
Source: Rfam by way of RNAcentral
AAUCCAUGCAUCAGAUAUUUCCUAAUUAACUCCUUAAAUAGCUCCCAUGCUUCAUAUAAUGUUUCAUCUUCAAAUUGUCAAAAUGAUGUAAUAUCAUUUAUCAACUU